UGUGUAUGUGAGUUUUAAAUAUCCACUGAAAAAUGGGAAUUGCCUCGACCUAUGUCUAACUAUUUUAAACCUGGAGUUCUGGAGAAACCACAAGCGUCCUCCAAACCUCGCUCGGCCUUCAGCGGCUAAAGUCACUUAACUCGGAGGCCUCCCACAAAG
This is a long non-coding RNA of Perognathus longimembris pacificus (Pacific pocket mouse), 159 nucleotides long. RefSeq lists it as uncharacterized. The transcript is spliced from 3 exons. The record is from RefSeq and is a predicted model, not a curated record. NCBI's taxonomy places the organism in Eukaryota, Metazoa, Chordata, Mammalia, Rodentia, Heteromyidae.